UACGUAGGGACCAAGCGUUGUUCGGAUUUACUGGGCGUAAAGGGCGCGUAGGCGGCGCGGUAAGUCACUUGUGAAAUCUCUGAGCUUAACUCAGAACGGCCAAGUGAUACUGCAGUGCUAGAGUGUGGAAGGGGCAAUCGGAAUUCUUGGUGUAGCGGUGAAAUGCGUAGAUAUCAGGAGGAACACCGAUGGCGAAGGCAGGUCUCUGGGCUGACACUGACGCUCAUGCACGAAAGCGUGGGGAGCAAACAGG
This 253-nucleotide ribosomal RNA is filed under the name uncultured bacterium. RNAcentral describes it as "partial 16S ribosomal RNA". It matches the Rfam family "Bacterial small subunit ribosomal RNA", at positions 524 to 776 of the family's 1533-position model. The record is from RNAcentral.